UUGGUACAAAGAGAAGCGAAGCGGUGACGUGGAGCAAACCUCAGAAAGCCAAUCUCAGUUCGGAUUGUAGGCUGCAACUCGCCUACAUGAAGUUGGAAUCGCUAGUAAUCGCGAAUCAGAAUGUCGCGGUGAAUACGUUCCCGGGUCUUGUACACACCGCCCGUCAAACCAUGAGAGUUGGCAACACCGAAGUCGGUAGUCUAACCGCAAGGAGGACGCCGCCGAAGGUGGGGUUGAUGAUUAGGGUUAAGUCGUAACAAGGUAUC
Molecule: ribosomal RNA, 266 nt
Filed under: uncultured bacterium
Lineage: Bacteria
Description: partial 16S ribosomal RNA
Rfam family: Bacterial small subunit ribosomal RNA
Source: RNAcentral